This 66-nucleotide transfer RNA is filed under the name Deronectes hispanicus. RNAcentral describes it as "tRNA-Asp". Lineage: Eukaryota; Metazoa; Arthropoda; Insecta; Coleoptera; Dytiscidae. The record is from RNAcentral.
AAGAAAUUAGUUAAAUUAUAACAUUAGAAUGUCAAACUAAAAUUAUUAAAUAUUUAAUAUUUCUUA